This 73-nucleotide transfer RNA is filed under the name Sphingomonadaceae bacterium. Its description in RNAcentral is "tRNA-Pro". It matches the Rfam family "tRNA". Rfam says of the family: Transfer RNA (tRNA) molecules are approximately 80 nucleotides in length. Their secondary structure includes four short double-helical elements and three loops (D, anti-codon, and T loops). Lineage: Bacteria; Pseudomonadati; Pseudomonadota; Alphaproteobacteria; Sphingomonadales; Sphingomonadaceae. The record is from RNAcentral.
AGCCCUUUAGUCUAGUGGAUCAGGACGUCAUCUAUUCGGGAUGAAGACGCGGGUUCGAAUCCUGCAAGGGCUA